GACGCACGCUGGCGGCGUGCCUAAUACAUGCAAGUCGAACGAGCGGCGGACGGGUGAGUAAUGUAUGGGGACUGCCCGCUAGAGGGGGAUAACUACUGGAAACGGUGGCUAAUACCGCAUACUAUCGGAUAACCCAUAUGGGAUUAGCUAGUAGGUGGGGGAAAGGCUCACCUAGGCGACGAUCCCUAGCUGGUGUGAGAGGAUGAUCAGGCACACUGGGAAUGAGACACGGCCCAGACUCCUACGGAGGCAGCAGUUGGGAAUAUUGCACAAUGGGCGCAAGCCUGAUGCAGCCAUGCCGCGUGGAUGAAGAAGGCCUUAGGGUUGUAAAGUACUUUCAGCGGGGAAGCGUUACCCACAGAAAAAGCACCGGCUAACUCCGUGCCAGCAGCCGCGGUAAUUC
RNAcentral lists this ribosomal RNA (403 nucleotides) under uncultured bacterium. RNAcentral's name for it is "partial 16S ribosomal RNA". It matches the Rfam family "Bacterial small subunit ribosomal RNA", at positions 28 to 526 of the family's 1533-position model. The record is from RNAcentral.